ACGGCAACAACCCAACCUCGACCUUUUACCCUUGAAGCAAGAAAAGUUGCAUGAUGUAGAAAAAAAGCAAUAAAACAUUAAAAAAAUAGACAUGUAGUCACAAAUGGAAUUGAAAUGAAUACUAAUAAUCAUUUGGGAGGAUAAUGACACACACCAAACUUUGCUUCCUUGAAUAAACACAUGCUCAAGGUGUGAGAUCUUUCCAUCCUAUUGAUAUCAACAAAACUACAUCAUCAGGGUUACAAGUUCUGCCAGACCUUUAGGCUUCCUAGGACAUAAUUAUUAGGGAAUCAAAACUAGGUAGCAUCUUACAUCUCUAUUGUUUCAACCAUAAUAAUAGGGUUAAGACCCUUUUUCAGCCAACAAAGGUAUAUUAACAUCUCUAUGGCUUCUCCUAUAUGAUGAGUAUCCUUGUCUAUGAAGAAUAGGCCCAACAUAACCUCAACAAUCACAAAUAUGCCAACAGCUAAACUUCACACUGAAUUAAGAAAACAAAAUAUAAUCAGUUGCCAUAGCAACUUUUAUUGUUACUUCCUCUGUUCUUUCUACUUAUUUCUUGAUAAUAUAACUACUAACAGCUGCAGAUUUAAUAUAUUCAUCAAUUAAACCAUACAACUAAGAGACUAAACACCUAACCUCGAAAAUUUACUCUUAAGGAUACUACCCUGCAUCUUGAAGUUAUUGUAUAUUGAACAUGUCAAAUCCUAAAGUAUACAAAGUUACAAACUAUUGUCUUAAAAUAUUAAGCACUGAUUUGUAAUCGGUAACUAUAAUUACGUGAUAUAACAUACCUUACACUGAUUUUUGAGCAUGCUUUUUUCAUUCAACAAAACUCGCAAUUUGAUAUAUUGGCGUACCAAUAUUUAGGGUUAGGGAUUUUACCCUGAUAAUCGUCUCGCACUCUUGAAUCCUUAUCUUUUAGCUGAUUUCUUAACUGGUUGAGCCUCUGACUUAUACUCGAUCUUCAUUAUUAUUGCUUAAAUUUGGAAGUCACAUUCAAUUCACUUAUGUCGUUAUAAACUGCACACAAACACUUUACCCGUUUCUGAAUUUGGGAGACGAACAGACGAGGUAAAAACAGAAAGUUCUUUUUCUAAUAGUCCCCAUCAUUUCACAUUUUGCAUAAAGGUACCCAAAAUUCCACACUAAAACCAAAAUAUACCCUCACCAAAACAAGUUUAUACUUCCUCAUGCGAAAAAUUAGUAAUUCAAAAUUUGUGUGCAUUUUAUACAUUUUGAUGUUUAGUUGCAUGAUAUUUUAGAAUAUAUUAUUAAGAACGCAAGUCUAUGUCUCAUCUUAAUCUACCUGGCGGGACAAAAAGUUGCAUCAACAAGUGUUUGCUUUCCUAUGACAAACAAGGUGUCUCAAAAGGUACUUCUAUUUAUUAUAACAUCUUAUUUUCAUUUUUCCGUAUUGCAACAAUGUACUUCCAAAUUUUUGUUUAUUUAUGAAUGCAUUAUACUAUAGAAAAACUACUUAGUUAUAACAUUGUACUUUCAAC
Molecule: long non-coding RNA, 1502 nt
Filed under: Lactuca sativa (garden lettuce)
Lineage: Eukaryota; Viridiplantae; Streptophyta; Magnoliopsida; Asterales; Asteraceae
Description: long non-coding RNA (LSAT_LNC001063)
Source: RNAcentral